AGUGGUGUACGCAAAUGGCUUAAGCGGCUUGGCUUUCAUCCAAGUGAUUGCGGGUUCAAUCCCCGUCACCACUCCCA
This 77-nucleotide transfer RNA is filed under the name Acaryochloris thomasi RCC1774. Its description in RNAcentral is "Acaryochloris sp. RCC1774 tRNA-Glu". It matches the Rfam family "tRNA". From Rfam's summary of the family: Transfer RNA (tRNA) molecules are approximately 80 nucleotides in length. Their secondary structure includes four short double-helical elements and three loops (D, anti-codon, and T loops). Lineage: Bacteria; Bacillati; Cyanobacteriota; Cyanophyceae; Acaryochloridales; Acaryochloridaceae. The record is from RNAcentral.